ACGCUCGACACCUACGGGUGGCAGCAGUAGGGAAUCUUCCACAAUGGACGCAAGUCUGAUGGAGCAACGCCGCGUGAGUGAAGAAGGUCUUCGGAUCGUAAAACUCUGUUGUUAGAGAAGAACACGAGUGAGAGUAACUGUUCAUUCGAUGACGGUAUCUAACCAGCAAGUCACGGCUAACUACGUGCAAGCAGCCGCGGUAAUCUGAGCGGGCUGGCAAGGC
RNAcentral lists this ribosomal RNA (223 nucleotides) under uncultured bacterium. RNAcentral describes it as "partial 16S ribosomal RNA". It matches the Rfam family "Bacterial small subunit ribosomal RNA", at positions 328 to 539 of the family's 1533-position model. The record is from RNAcentral.